RNAcentral lists this long non-coding RNA (1297 nucleotides) under Homo sapiens (human). RNAcentral's name for it is "long intergenic non-protein coding RNA 2367". The record is from RNAcentral. Lineage: Eukaryota; Metazoa; Chordata; Mammalia; Primates; Hominidae.
ACUCAGAAGAGGAAGGAGCUCCUGUCUGCUGAGGACACGGUUCCAUCCAAUGAGAUUUUCUGCAAACUAGGAAUAGAAGCAAGCUUCUUAACCUGAUGUAUCGCACCUUCAAAAAGCCUACAGCAAACAUCUUACUUAGUGAUGAAAAACUGAUUGCCUUCCCCAUAAGAUUGAGAACCAGGAACUGUCCAGGAAGACCCUGCAGUCUCUCUGCAGGCUCAUGGGAGCUCCCAGAACUGAGACAACACACGGAUCCAGGCCUGCUUCGAAGUCAGUGGGAUGCGGCCCUUGAAAGUCGAUGUAUUGGGUUCCUAGGGCUCUCGUGAAAACAUGCCACACCUGGCUGGUUUUAAACAACAGGAGUUUAUUCUGUCAGUUGAGAAGGCUACAAGUGCAAAAUCAAGGUAUUGACGGGAUGAGUUCCAACUAGAGGCUGUGAGGCAGAUCAACUCCAUGGCUCUCUCCUGGCUUCUGCUGGUUUCUGGCAACCGUUCACUUCCCAUGCCUGGUAGACACAUCACUCUAACCUCUGCCUCCCUUUUUCAUGGGCACAUUCGCGCCUGUGUGUGUGUGUGUGUGGAUGUGUGUGUUAAGGACAGCAAUCAUUAGACUAGAUGGGGCCCACUCUAAUCCACUGUGAGCUUCUCUUACUUUGGUAACAUCUGCAAAGACCCUAUUUCCAAACAAGGUCACAUUCCAUGUUCUGGGACUGUCUUCUGAGAGAUGUCUCCCCCAGGAUCCUUCCAGGUGGAAGGAUGCCCUUUGACCUGCAAAGCCAGGCAGAAAACCAGGAUCAGGGCAGGACAAGAGGAUGCUAGCCUGUGAUGGCUCCCACUCAGGUGGGAUGUGAGAAGUGCCUGUGGCCUGGGACACACCAACUUGCUCCCGUUACCUCAUCUGAGAUGGACUGCACAGUGUAUGUCCAGGGCCCAACCCGGUACACUGUGCCUUUGCAAUGCUGUCUCUGUGCUUUGGAAAUUCACUCAGCCCACUGCGUGGGGUGGUCUGAGGCGGGCCACAACCAUUUCUCAACCAUCCCUGAGUACCUGACCAGUAUCCCUCGGGGGUGACGACGACCGCCUACAUCUGGAGCAUGAGGAGCGUGUUUACCUGGUGAGUAAGGAUGCAAGCAUAGGACGUCCUGGCCGAUCCUCUGCACAAGCAAUGCCUUUGCUCCAACGGGAUGGGCAACGUUGGAUUAGGCCUGAGGCAGAUUUGAUCUCGGAAGAUACAUUCGAGUCUAUGUGUUUUGUGCAUUUAUUUUUGUUUCCUUGAAUUAACAUGGAGUCCAUUUCAA